Priapulus caudatus is the source of this 613-nucleotide long non-coding RNA. RefSeq lists it as uncharacterized. NCBI's taxonomy places the organism in Eukaryota, Metazoa, Priapulida, Priapulimorpha, Priapulimorphida, Priapulidae. The record is from RefSeq and is a predicted model, not a curated record. The transcript is spliced from 2 exons.
GUGACGCUAUGGAGUAUAGGUGGCACUGAGUGUCGGACAACAAUGUGACCUAUGGUGUAGGUGGCACUGAGUGUUGGGCAGCGAUGUGACCUACUGAGUACUAGGGAUCGGCGCUGAUUGUCGGACAGCAGUGAUGUAACCUACGGUAUAGGUGGCGCUGAUUGUCGGACAGCAGUGAUGUAACCUACGGUAUAGGUGGCGCUGAGUGUCUGACUGAGCGAUGUGGUAUUACAGCGGCCCACUCCCAACACCACGGAAAGUUUCAGUAGUUUUUUUUCUCAGCUGUUGUCUUGCUUACCCCACGAGUCCUACUUUGUUUGAGAAUUGUAAUGAUAAUAAAAGUACUAUUGUAUUGCGUUUAUAAAAACGCGGCCGCUUUGUUGUUUGCUUGUUGUUGCCAAUGUGUAUGCCACUAAGUGCGGUAAAGUAUACAUAUAUCUAUGUAUAUAUAUAUAUAUAUAUAUGUAUAUAUAUAUAUAUAUAAUUAUAUAUGUACCUCGCACUGUUUGGUAUUCGUUUUCGGAGCAGCUGUAACAAAAAUGACGCAUGAAAUAAAUGAUUAUUAAUUAUUUACAUCCAUUUUUUAUGUCGAAUAAAAUUACAUUAAACUUUA